Molecule: ribosomal RNA, 345 nt
Filed under: Gracilipsodes lanceolatus
Lineage: Eukaryota; Metazoa; Arthropoda; Insecta; Trichoptera; Leptoceridae
Description: partial 16S ribosomal RNA
Source: RNAcentral
AUAAUAAUUAGUUUCUUAAUUGGGAACUAGAAUGAAUGAUUGAAUGAGAUAUAAUCUUUUUUUUUUUAAGUUUUAUAAAAUUUAAAUUUUUGGUUAAAAAGCUAAAAUUUUUUAAAAAGACGAGAAGACCCUAUAGAUUUUUAUUUAAGCUUAAUAAUUUAUUAUUUGGGUUAAAUUUUAUUGGGGGGAUAAAAAAAUUUAAAAAACUUUUUGAGAUUUUGACAUUAAUAUAUGAAAAUUUAUUAUGAACUGUAAUUUAAUUGAAUAGUUACAAAUAAAGAUUAAAAUACCUUAGGGAUAACAGCGUAAUUUUAAUUUUAAGAUCAUAUUAAAAUUAAAGAUUGC